This 73-nucleotide transfer RNA is filed under the name Cricetulus griseus (Chinese hamster). It matches the Rfam family "tRNA". Rfam says of the family: Transfer RNA (tRNA) molecules are approximately 80 nucleotides in length. The record is from Rfam by way of RNAcentral. Lineage: Eukaryota; Metazoa; Chordata; Mammalia; Rodentia; Cricetidae.
GGAAAGAUGGCUCAGUGGUUAAGAGCACUGGCUGCUCUUUCAGAGGGCCAGGGUUCAAAUCCUUGUUCCCCCA